Molecule: ribosomal RNA, 707 nt
Filed under: uncultured bacterium
Lineage: Bacteria
Description: bacterial SSU rRNA
Rfam family: Bacterial small subunit ribosomal RNA
Source: RNAcentral
AGUGGCGGAAGGGCGAGUAACGCGUAUCUAACGUACCCACAAGUGGGGGAUAGCUUCGGGAAACCGGAGGUAAUACCCCAUAAAACCAUCGAGAGGCAUCUCUUGGUGGUCAAAGGCUUGCUGCUUGUGGAGCGGGAUGCGUCCUAUCAGGUAGUUGGUGAGGUAAUGGCUCACCAAGCCUAAGACGGGUAGCGGGUGUGAGAGCACGGCCCGCCGCAUCGGAACUGAGACACUGUCCGGACUCCUACGGGAGGCUGCAGUAACGAAUAUUCCGCAAUGCACGAAAGUGUGACGGAGCAAUGCCGCGUGUGGGAUGAAGCAUUUCGGUGUGUAAACCACUGUCAGGAUCUAGGAAAUAUGACCAGGUCCAAAGGAAGAGACGGCUAACUCUGUGCCAGCAGCCGCGGUAAUACAGAGGUCUCAAGCGUUAAUCGGAAUUACUGGGCUUAAAGGGUCCGCAGGCGGACCAGCAAGUACCUUGUGAAAUCUCAGGUCUCAACCCUGAGUCUGCUAGGUAGACUGCUGGUCUUGAGUGCAAAAGGGGUCGCUGGAACUCUAGGUGGAGCGGUGAAAUGCGUAGAUAUCUAGAGGAACGCCAAAGGUGAAGACAGGCGACUGGUUUGCAACUGACGCUCAUGGACGAAAGCGUGGAGAUCAAACGGGAUUAGAUACCCCGGUAGUCCACGCCCUANACAAUGUACACUUGG